This 253-nucleotide ribosomal RNA is filed under the name uncultured bacterium. Its description in RNAcentral is "partial 16S ribosomal RNA". It matches the Rfam family "Bacterial small subunit ribosomal RNA", at positions 524 to 776 of the family's 1533-position model. The record is from RNAcentral.
UACGUAGGGUGCAAGCGUUGUCCGGAAUUAUUGGGCGUAAAGUGUGCGCAGGCGGCCGCGCAAGUCGAGUGUGAAAGCCCCGGGCUUAACUUGGGAAUUGCGCUCGAAACUACGUGGCUAGAGUGUGGCAGAGGGAGGUGGAAUUCCACGUGUAGCGGUGAAAUGCGUAGAGAUGUGGAGGAAUACCGAUGGCGAAGGCAGCCCCCUGGGAUAACACUGACGCUCAUGCACGAAAGCGUGGGGAGCAAACAGG